Long non-coding RNA from Cryptomeria japonica (Japanese cedar), 1034 nucleotides. RefSeq lists it as uncharacterized. The record is from RefSeq and is a predicted model, not a curated record. NCBI's taxonomy places the organism in Eukaryota, Viridiplantae, Streptophyta, Pinopsida, Cupressales, Cupressaceae. The transcript has 12 exons.
CAGAGCAUGUCAAGAUAUGAAGGUGACUUGGUGGCAAAAUGCUACUUUACAAAGCACAACACCUGUGUAUUAUCCUCUAGUGACUUUAGUUACAAAAGUCUCUGUUCCAUUCAAAAGUCACUACUGCAACAUUAACAACUCACCCAGAGAUACAUAUUAACAGACAACAACAUACCCAUGAUUGCACUCCAUGUCUAUUACAACCAAACAUUUUCUGGCAAAACCUUUGACCAACCACACUAAAUCACCUUUCCUAUUUCACCAAUAUCCAUUCAUUUUGUUCCCCAUAUUUCAGAUUUAAAUAUCUCAAAUCUAUGACUGUGUUGCCCUUGCAAAAAUUGCAGACAACAAACAAAAAAAUUUAGGGUGUUUUCAACCUUCACUGCAUUCCAGAUUUAUGACACUAAUCAGAGCAUCUGUGUAUUAUCCUCUGAUAACUUUUGUUACAAAACUAUUUGUUCCAUCCAAAACUCGCUGCUGCAACAUAAACAACUCACCCAGCUGUGAUUUCAAAGGAAGGAUCCAAGGCCUGCAACACACCAGGCAACUUGAGCCAAUCUCAAAGCCUCCAAUUUCCAUAUGCCAGUUUUGAGGAUUGCGGCAUGGCAGCACUUGUGUAUUGUCCUCUGGUGACUUUCAUUACAAAAGUGUCUGUACCAUUCAAAAGUCACUGCUCCAACAUAAACAGCUCACCCAAAGAUACAUAUUACCAGACAACAACAUACCCAUGAUUGCACUCCAUGCCGAUUACAAACAAACAUUUUCAGGCGCAUGUCACAAGCUCUGCUCAUCUCAUACAACAGAUUCCCAAGAUUGAUGCUUAACACCCUCUCCGAGACCAAAAUCAACUGGAUUGCACUUCAUUCAAGUUGCAAUAGUUACAAAUUGCCUCUGACAAAACUAUGAAGGUUGACUUGCUUGAUAGACAUGACCUUCCUCACCAUGAUAAGCAAAAUAUAUAUUGCCAGUUCCUCUUUCUUGUCAGGCUUUAAAACUCAGCAGGCGUUGUAAUUUAAAACAAGUUGCUCGCAUUG